Long non-coding RNA from Pantherophis guttatus, 1717 nucleotides. RefSeq lists it as uncharacterized. Lineage: Eukaryota; Metazoa; Chordata; Lepidosauria; Squamata; Colubridae. The record is from RefSeq and is a predicted model, not a curated record.
UUACUGAAAUAAAUGAACUUUUGCAUGAUAUUCUAAUUUUUCGAGUUUCACCUGUAUCUGGAUCACGCGAUCUGGUAGCGCCACCAACAGGAGGCUCCUCCUACCUGCCCGGAUGUCAUCACGUCCCGUUUUUUACCUUCUGCGCAUGUGUGAAACGUGCUUAUAUUUGCGAACCAGUAGCGAAGAAAUAAAAAUGCACAUUUGGGAUCCAAGUCCAACUCAAGUGUGCCUACAGAUAUGCAACAGUUUUUAUACCAGAAAACCACAACUACACAUCAGAAUUUCCUUAUGUUUCAUCACGUGAUCCUGAUUUAUUGGAGACAUGUAACAUCCAGUGACUCCGAAUUAACACCCAGCAACAAUCAGUUCAAGCAUCUUAUUUUUUAUACAUCUAUGGAAAUUGUAAUAGUCACAACUCUCCUGAAGGUUUUUCUGAUGUAAAAUAUAGCCACUGUCAGAGAACAUGCUAUUUCCAUAGUGAGUUAAAAGAGAUGCAAUUCAAGUGAAGAUCGACUUCCUGGUGAUUGUUGGAAUGAUCUGCAGGGUACAAAUUGUCCAAAAAAGGCCAUGUAUUUUACUGUACAAUAGCAUGUUAUAGAGGGUAGAACAAUAAACAGCGGAUGAAAGCUCAUUAAAGACAGAGCCAACCUUGAACAAAGGAGAAAUUUCCUGAUAGUAAGAACAGUUUAACAGCUUGCCAUCUGGGUGCUCCAUCAUUGGAAUUUUGAUGAAAACAUUGGACAACCAUUUGUCCAGGUCUCCUGCCAUAGGCAGCUGGUUGGACUAAAAAAUUCAAGGUCCAAGAUCUCUUCCAACCCUAUGAUUCUAUUCUGUUCUAUUCUUUCCUAUUCUUUUCUCUCCUGUUCUGUCCUGUCCUGUCCUGUCCUGUCCUGUCCUGUCCUGUCCUGUCCUAUCCUAUCCUAUCCUAUCCUAUCCUAUCCUAUCCUAUCCUAUCCUAUCCUAUCCUAUCCUAUCCUAUCCAAUUGACAGGACCAAAUGUGUAGGAGACUUGUGUCUGAAUUCCAGCUCACACAAGCAGAAAGCAGCUGCAACUGCCCAUUCCAUUAUGGCCUUUAUUUCAGAUCCACAUCACAUUUGCUCAACUUUUUUUUUUUUUUUAAUUUGAUUUAUAUGCUGCCCUUCUCCGGAGACUCAGGGCGGCUUACAAUGUGUUAAGCAAUAGCCUUCAUACUUUUGUAUAUUUAUACAAAGUCAUCUUAUUGCCCCCACAAUCUGGGUCCUCAAGUUGAGGUAUGUUCUUGGGUGAUCAAAUAAAAAUACUUCAUAAUAUUUUGGAGGGGUUUUGAGCUUCAGCACACAUGGGAUGUUCUGAAUAUUUCAUGCUUAGUAUCUGCAUGAAAUUGCUGGAUGAGGUCACCCAACAAGACAUCCUGAAGGUGCUUUUUCAAAAGGCAACUGGUUUUUUUUUUUUUUUUUGGUUUUUUUCUUGAAAGCGUUUCACUUCUCAUCCAAGAUGUUCUUCAGUUCUGACUGAAUGGUGGAGAAUGGAAAGAUUCUUAUUCUUUGCAUCAUCUGGUCGUUAACAUUCUUUCUUGGCACAGAUAAACUUGGAGGUUUAUCUGUGCCCUCAGUGGAUACUGAAUACUGCAAAUGGGAGUGGAACAUUAUUGGAAUUGCUGAAAGGACUGUGAUGUAAACAGAAGAUAGGUGGUGUUGUAUUCCUGCCCCUGUGUUGAGAGAGUACUGUUAAUAUUAA